Molecule: ribosomal RNA, 497 nt
Filed under: uncultured bacterium
Lineage: Bacteria
Description: partial 16S ribosomal RNA
Rfam family: Bacterial small subunit ribosomal RNA
Source: RNAcentral
GAUGAACGCUGGCGGCGUGCCUAAUACAUGCAAGUCGAGCGAACAGACGAGGAGCUUGCUCCUCUGACGUUAGCGGCGGACGGGUGAGUAACACGUGGAUAACCUACCUAUAAGACUGGGUUAACUUCGGGAAACCGGAGCUAAUGCCGGAUAAUAUAUUGAACCGCAUGGUUCAAUAGUGAAAGACGGUUUUGCUGUCACUUAUAGAUGGAUCCGCGCCGCAUUAGCUAGUUGGUAAGGUAACGGCUUACCAAGGCAACGAUGCGUAGCCGACCUGAGAGGGUGGUCGGGCACACUGGAGCUGAGACACGGUCCAGACUCCUACGGGAGGCAGCAGUAGGGAAUCUUCCGCGAUGGGCGAAAGCUUGACGGAGCAACGCCGCGUGAGUGAUGAAGGUCUUCGGAUCGUAAAACUCUGUUAUUAGGGAAGAACAAAUGUGUAAGUAACUAUGCACGUCUUGACGGUACCUAAUCAGAAAGCCACGGCUAACUACGUG